RNAcentral lists this ribosomal RNA (433 nucleotides) under uncultured bacterium. RNAcentral describes it as "partial 16S ribosomal RNA". It matches the Rfam family "Bacterial small subunit ribosomal RNA", at positions 29 to 507 of the family's 1533-position model. The record is from RNAcentral.
AACGAACGCUGGCGGCAUGCCUAACACAUGCAAGUCGAACGAGACCUUCGGGUCUAGUGGCGCACGGGUGCGUAACGCGUGGGAACCUUCCCUUAGGUUCGGAAUAACUCCCCGAAAGGGGUGCUAAUACCGGAUAAUGUCUUCGGACCAAAGAUUUAUCGACUUUGGAUGGGCCCGCGUUGGAUUAGCUAGUUGGUAGGGUAAAAGCCUACCAAGGCGACGAUCCAUAGCUGGUCUGAGAGGAUGAUCAGCCACACUGGGACUGAGACACGGCCCAGACUCUUACGGGAGGCAGCAGUGGGGAAUAUUGGCAAAUGGGGGAAAGCAUGAUCCAGCAAUGCCGCGUGAGUGAUGAAGGUCUGAGGGUUGUAAAGCUCUUUUACCCGGGAUGAUAAUGACAGUACCGGGAGAAUAAGCUCCGGCUAACUCCGUG